GGGCCCGCACAAGCGGUGGAGCAUGUGGUUCAAUUCGACGCAACGCGAAGAACCUUACCCAGGCUUGAACAGCGAGUGACCAUCUACGAAAGUAGACUUCCGCAAGGACACUCGUAGAGGUGCUGCAUGGCUGUCGUCAGCUCGUGUCGUGAGAUGUUGGGUUAAGUCCCGCAACGAGCGCAACCCUUGUCUGCUGUUGCCAUCACGUUAUGGUGGGCACUCUGCAGAGACUGCCGGUGAUAAACCGGAGGAAGGUGGGGAUGACGUCAAGUCAGCAUGGCCUUUAUGUCUGGGGCUACACACGUGCUACAAUGGCCGAUACAAACCGUCGCGAUACCGCAAGGUGGAGCUAAUCGGAGAAAGUCGGUCUCAGUUCGGAUCGUAGGCUGCAACUCGCCUGCGUGAAGUUGGAAUCGCUAGUAAUCGCGGAUCAGCACGCCGCGGUGAAUACGUUCCCGGGCCUU
This 464-nucleotide ribosomal RNA is filed under the name uncultured bacterium. RNAcentral describes it as "bacterial SSU rRNA". It matches the Rfam family "Bacterial small subunit ribosomal RNA", at positions 917 to 1382 of the family's 1533-position model. The record is from RNAcentral.